GUCGAGGGGUAUAGUAGCAAUACUAGAGACCGGCGCACGGGUGCGUAACGCGUAUGCAAUCUACCUUUCACAGAGGGAUAGCCCAGAGAAAUUUGGAUUAAUACCUCAUAGUAUAAUGAGUUGGCAUCAACCCAUUAUUAAAGUCACAACGGUGAAAGAUGAGCAUGCGUCCCAUUAGCUAGUUGGUAAGGUAACGGCUUACCAAGGCUACGAUGGGUAGGGGUCCUGAGAGGGAGAUCCCCCACACUGGUACUGAGACACGGACCAGACUCCUACGGGAGGCAGCAGUGAGGAAUAUUGGUCAAUGGGCGCAAGCCUGAACCAGCCAUGCCGCGUGCAGGAUGACGGUCCUAUGGAUUGUAAACUGCUUUUGUACGGGAAGAAACCCUCCAACGUGUUGGAGCUUGACGGUACCGUAAGAAUAAGGAUCGGCUAACUCCGUGCCAGCAGCCGCGGUAAUACGGAGGAUCCAAGCGUUAUCCGGAAUCAUUGGGUUUAAAGGGUCCGUAGGCGGUUUAGUAAGUCAGUGGUGAAAGCCCAUCGCUCAACGGUGGAACGGCCAUUGAUACUGCUAGACUUGAAUUAUUAGGAAGUAACUAGAAUAUGUAGUGUAGCGGUGAAAUGCUUAUAGAUUACAUGGAAU
This 643-nucleotide ribosomal RNA is filed under the name uncultured Bacteroidota bacterium. Its description in RNAcentral is "bacterial SSU rRNA". It matches the Rfam family "Bacterial small subunit ribosomal RNA", at positions 61 to 707 of the family's 1533-position model. The record is from RNAcentral. Lineage: Bacteria; Pseudomonadati; Bacteroidota.